RNAcentral lists this ribosomal RNA (406 nucleotides) under uncultured bacterium. RNAcentral's name for it is "partial 16S ribosomal RNA". It matches the Rfam family "Bacterial small subunit ribosomal RNA", at positions 28 to 526 of the family's 1533-position model. The record is from RNAcentral.
GACGAACGCUGGCGGCGUGCUUAACACAUGCAAGUCGAACGAGUGGCGGACGGGUGAGUAAUGUCUGGGAAACUGCCUGAUGGAGGGGGAUAACUACUGGAAACGGUAGCUAAUACCGCAUACCAUCAGAUGUGCCCAGAUGGGAUUAGCUUGUUGGUGGGGUAACGGCUCACCAAGGCGACGAUCCCUAGCUGGUCUGAGAGGAUGACCAGCCACACUGGAACUGAGACACGGUCCAGACUCCUACGGGAGGCAGCAGUGGGGAAUAUUGCACAAUGGGCGCAAGCCUGAUACAGCCAUGCCGCGUGUAUGAAGAAGGCCUUCGGGUUGUAAAGUACUUUCAGCGGGGAGGCGUUACCCGCAGAAGAAGCACCGGCUAACUCCGUGCCAGCAGCCGCGGUAAUAC